RNAcentral lists this ribosomal RNA (1506 nucleotides) under Serratia marcescens. RNAcentral's name for it is "partial 23S ribosomal RNA". It matches the Rfam family "Bacterial large subunit ribosomal RNA", at positions 1 to 1551 of the family's 2925-position model. The record is from RNAcentral. Lineage: Bacteria; Pseudomonadati; Pseudomonadota; Gammaproteobacteria; Enterobacterales; Yersiniaceae.
GGUUAAGUGACUAAGCGUACACGGUGGAUGCCUAGGCAGUCAGAGGCGAUGAAGGGCGUGCUAAUCUGCGAAAAGCGUCGGUAAGGUGAUAUGAACCGUUAUAACCGGCGAUACCCGAAUGGGGAAACCCAGUGUGUUUCGACACAUUAUCAUGUCAUGAAUACAUAGUGGCAUGAGGCGAACCGGGGGAACUGAAACAUCUAAGUACCCCGAGGAAAAGAAAUCAACCGAGAUUCCCCCAGUAGCGGCGAGCGAACGGGGAGGAGCCCAGAACCUGAAUCGGCUUGUGUGUUAGUGGAAGCGUCUGGAAAGUCGCGCAGCAAAGGGUGAUAGCCCCGUACACUAAAAUGCACAGGUCGUGAGUUCGAUGAGUAGGGCGGGACACGUGACAUCCUGUCUGAAUAUGGGGGGACCAUCCUCCAAGGCUAAAUACUCCUGACUGACCGAUAGUGAACCAGUACCGUGAGGGAAAGGCGAAAAGAACCCCGGCGAGGGGAGUGAAAUAGAACCUGAAACCGUGUACGUACAAGCAGUGGGAGCACCUUCGUGGUGUGACUGCGUACCUUUUGUAUAAUGGGUCAGCGACUUAUAUUUUGUAGCAAGGUUAACCGUAUAGGGGAGCCGUAGGGAAACCGAGUCUUAACUGGGCGAAUAGUUGCAAGGUAUAGACCCGAAACCCGGUGAUCUAGCCAUGGGCAGGUUGAAGGUUGGGUAACACUAACUGGAGGACCGAACCGACUAAUGUUGAAAAAUUAGCGGAUGACUUGUGGCUGGGGGUGAAAGGCCAAUCAAACCGGGAGAUAGCUGGUUCUCCCCGAAAGCUAUUUAGGUAGCGCCUCGUGAACUCAUCUUCGGGGGUAGAGCACUGUUUCGGCUAGGGGGCCAUCCCGGCUUACCAAACCGAUGCAAACUCCGAAUACCGAAGAAUGUUAUCACGGGAGACACACGGCGGGUGCUAACGUCCGUCGUGAAGAGGGAAACAACCCAGACCGCCAGCUAAGGUCCCAAAGUCAUGGUUAAGUGGGAAACGAUGUGGGAAGGCAUAGACAGCCAGGAUGUUGGCUUAGAAGCAGCCAUCAUUUAAAGAAAGCGUAAUAGCUCACUGGUCGAGUCGGCCUGCGCGGAAGAUGUAACGGGGCUAAACCAUGCACCGAAGCUGCGGCAGCGACGCUUAGGCGUUGUUGGGUAGGGGAGCGUUCUGUAAGCCGUUGAAGGUGGCCUGUGAGGGUUGCUGGAGGUAUCAGAAGUGCGAAUGCUGACAUAAGUAACGAUAAAGCGGGUGAAAAGCCCGCUCGCCGGAAGACCAAGGGUUCCUGUCCAACGUUAAUCGGGGCAGGGUGAGUCGACCCCUAAGGCGAGGCUGAAAAGCGUAGUCGAUGGGAAACAGGUUAAUAUUCCUGUACUUGGUGUUACUGCGAAGGGGGGACGGAGAAGGCUAGGCUAGCCGGGCGACGGUUGUCCCGGUUUAAGCGUGUAGGGGGUGUGACCUGGUAAAUCCGGUUGCAU